Molecule: non-coding RNA, 73 nt
Organism: Comamonadaceae bacterium CG1_02_60_18
Lineage: Bacteria; Pseudomonadati; Pseudomonadota; Betaproteobacteria; Burkholderiales; Comamonadaceae
Source: Rfam
GGGAACUUAGCUCAGUUGGUAGAGCAGCGGACUCUUAAUCCGGUGGUCGAGGGUUCGAGCCCCUCAGUUCCCA